Long non-coding RNA from Acinonyx jubatus (cheetah), 2596 nucleotides. RefSeq lists it as uncharacterized. Lineage: Eukaryota; Metazoa; Chordata; Mammalia; Carnivora; Felidae. The record is from RefSeq and is a predicted model, not a curated record. The transcript is spliced from 3 exons.
GUUUUGUGUCCAUGUGUAUUUCGCCACAUUUAGGAAAGAUCUGGCCAUACCGACGACUCUGUACCUUUAAAAUGGGAACCACAAAGCCUUCCUGUUUGAGGAUGCCAAAUUCUCUUCCAUGUGUUAAGCACUGAAAAUACAAAAUAUACAUAGGUUGCUUUCCAUUAUAAGAUAGGAUGAAAAUAAAGACCAAGAACUAUGGCUUUGCUUUAGUUUUUCGUCUCCGUACUAAAUAGUACAACCCGUCUGGGGAGUAAAGUCCUAAGAAAAGCGCCGUGCAAUCCCAAGCAAGCUGAUGCUCCCGGGAAGUACAGAAGUCUGCAAACUGCUCUUUGGCCAGGAGGGAGGAAUUGAUUUUUCCAGGGACCUCAGCCGAAUCUUAAUUGUAGUCACUAUGCCAAUGGAGGAUUCCGGGUCCCCUUCACUCUCCAUGUGGGGCUGUGGUCUCAAAGCCUAGAUUCCCUGGGUCCGAUGGCAGAUACCCUAAUUGACCCCCCCCCCACCCUGAUUCUCCAGCCCCCGUUUUUUCUUCAGAGCUGCCGAACUGUGCCGUCUGCACGGCUUCCUCCUGCACUGAAUUCUUCGCACCUGCCAGGGUCACGACUCCUGCUGAGAACUUUCAUCGCAUCCUGCUGAUGCUGCACCCUGGGGCCCUGAUGAUUGCACACCCCAGGCUUCUCCUGGCUCUUACUCCUGUAGAUUUCCAGAGAAGGAAGUGCGUGGUGGGAGUCAGGGACAGCAGAGAAGGAUUUUCCAGAAAGGGGAACUGACAACCGGUCUUUGGAGAACGAGCCUCCAAGGGAAGCAAAGCUCGAGAGGUGAGGGGAACUCAUUCGAGUCUGAUAAGUGAAACAGCAGCUGGCCACACUGUUUCGUGGCCCACACCUCGUGAGCAGCCUUCAUCCCUGCUGAGCCCCCCUCUUCCAUCGUCUGGUGGUAGCACGGGACUGGUAAGCCUCGAAUGUGCAGAGCAAGGGCUCAGUGAGCCGGCCAGCCUGGAGGGGGCUGGGGAAGGGGCUGCUCCCCUCCCCUUGGGUCCUGUCACUCUGCUCCAUGCCCGACUCCCUCCUGCCGCCAGCAAGAGGCACUGGCCUCUGCCGUGAAUUCUACCCCGUGCGGUGCUCCAUCACAAACAUGGAAAAAUGUGGGAAACGCCUAGAUAAAGUCUCCAGAUGGUGUUUCACCACGCAAAGUGAGCUAGUACGUAAUGCCCCGGGGAGGGAGGGGGGUGGUGAGGGGAGGCAGCUGGGGAAGCAGCCUUGCUCCGAUCCUCCUGGGCACCUGCUCCCUGGUGAGGACAACGGCAGAACCUUGGUGUCCAUCGAGGGAGAUAUUUACGCACACAAUCGACCGAUGCAAGUCGCCCGGGAUCGGUGCCCAGGGCUCUAGGGACGUGUGGAGGAAGACGGGAACAUUCCAACCUUGGCGCAUCUUGGAGAUGCAGACACGGAGGCAAAGAGCAGCAAAGUGGCUUCUCGAGAUCACCUGACCUGUGAGGGGCGGGGUCCGGAUUUGAACCCGGGUCCUCCGCCCACCAGAACUGCCUCCGACAUCCCUCAGCGCUUACUUAGCGCCCAGCACCGUACACGACCCAUUCCCUGGGUAGCUGCUGGUACUGAUGAGGUCUGGUUCCAGGAGGGCUGCAUGGAAGUGGAAGCCAGCCUUCCGGGACACACUGAAGCCAGAGAAGAGAAGCUACUUACCCAAGGUCGCACUGACAGCCUCCCCCAGAUUACUCACGCUCCCUUUACCAGGAUUGUCCCUACCGCCCGAGGACCCACAUGUACCCUGAGUGGAAAGACAGGAGGCCACCUGUGGGGCGUCCCUGGUGCCCUGGCCACGCGCCCUCGAGGCUGAUAGGCCACUGGAGUCUCUGGGACACGGGGUUAAUGAGCCACAUCUUUCAGCACAGCUGGCGAGCAGCUGGUCCAAGGUCACACUACCAGAACUCACCAAGAGAAUACUGAUACGUGUGCACCCGUGCUACUGGGUGGCGGAGGAAUGCCACCGCCACGUUGACGCCAUUUGUGACUCUCCACCCUGGCGGCCUCUUCAAAGCCACCAACCCCGGAGCCCCCACCCCCAGAGUUUCUGAUUCCUUGCGCCCAGGACACAGCCUGCCCCUGUUUGCUUUAGGAGCGCCCCAGGCGAGCCUAACUUGCAGCUUGGGGUGGAGACAGCGUUUCUCAAACUCUCCUGUGUAUUGGAAUCAUCUGGGAGGUUAAAAUACGGCCCUCCCCCACCCCAGCCUGAUUUAAUUGGGGCGGGGGGUGUGGCCUGGGCAUUAGGGUCUUGAAAUGCUCCCCCAGGUGAUUCAAACAUGUGGCCCGGUUGGAGAACACGGUUCUGGUUCGUUCUGCAUCCGGACUCUUGGCCCCACCCCUGAUCCCCUACAGACAGGGCUGCCCUGCCCUUGCAGAGUCCUCCCGAAAGAGACUUCGGUCCCGUGUUGCUGCUCAUAUAUAGAUAAGCGUCUCCAGAAAACUCUGUUCUCGGCUUCUGAAUGUCAAGAAGAAGUCAAUCCGAAGCAGUAAGUCUUCUGGCUGCCCCUCCCUGAACAGGAAAUAAACACUCAGCAUGAGUGGCAUGAAAACGU